This 390-nucleotide ribosomal RNA is filed under the name uncultured bacterium. RNAcentral's name for it is "bacterial SSU rRNA". It matches the Rfam family "Bacterial small subunit ribosomal RNA", at positions 28 to 419 of the family's 1533-position model. The record is from RNAcentral.
GACGAACGCUGGCGGCGUGCUUAACACAUGCAAGUCGAGCGGUAAGGCCCUUUCGGGGGUACACGAGCGGCGAACGGGUGAGUAACACGUGGGUGACCUGCCUUUAGCUCUGGGAUAAGCCUGGGAAACUGGGUCUAAUACCGGAUAUGACUCCGCGGUGCAUGCUGUGGGGUGGAAAGCCUUGUGCGGCUGGAGAUGGGCCCGCGGCCUAUCAGCUUGUUGGUGGGGUGAUGGCCUACCAAGGCGACGACGGGUAGCCGGCCUGAGAGGGCGACCGGCCACACUGGGACUGAGACACGGCCCAGACUCCUACGGGAGGCAGCAGUGGGGAAUCUUGCGCAAUGGGCGAAAGCCUGACGCAGCGACGCCGCGUGAGGGAUGACGGCCUGG